UUAAGUUCAGCGGGUAGUCCUACCUGAUUUGAGGCCAGAUAAUAAAAAAGUCAUGUCUAGCAAGCUAGAACUUGUAUUAGAAAGCGGACAAACGUCCCAGAAACUCGGCCAAUCCGAAGAUUGUCCUCAGCGAAAUAACUUAUUACGCCAAGUCAAACCAAGUCUCAAAGACAGAUCCAGCUAAUACUUUUAAGCUGAGC
This 200-nucleotide unclassified non-coding RNA is filed under the name Solicoccozyma sp. RNAcentral's name for it is "partial internal transcribed spacer 2". Lineage: Eukaryota; Fungi; Basidiomycota; Tremellomycetes; Filobasidiales; Piskurozymaceae. The record is from RNAcentral.